This 88-nucleotide transfer RNA is filed under the name Saprospirales bacterium. RNAcentral describes it as "tRNA-Ser". It matches the Rfam family "tRNA". From Rfam's summary of the family: Transfer RNA (tRNA) molecules are approximately 80 nucleotides in length. Their secondary structure includes four short double-helical elements and three loops (D, anti-codon, and T loops). RNAcentral also lists the same sequence under 2 other names. The record is from RNAcentral. Lineage: Bacteria; Pseudomonadati; Bacteroidota; Saprospiria; Saprospirales.
GGAGAGAUGUCCGAGUGGUUUAAGGAGCGCGCCUGGAAAGUGCGUAUACGUCAAAAGCGUAUCCAGGGUUCGAAUCCCUGUCUCUCCG